This 734-nucleotide ribosomal RNA is filed under the name uncultured Dietzia sp. RNAcentral describes it as "bacterial SSU rRNA". It matches the Rfam family "Bacterial small subunit ribosomal RNA", at positions 28 to 776 of the family's 1533-position model. Lineage: Bacteria; Bacillati; Actinomycetota; Actinomycetes; Mycobacteriales; Dietziaceae. The record is from RNAcentral.
GACGAACGCUGGCGGCGUGCUUAACACAUGCAAGUCGAACGGUAAGGCCCUUUCGGGGGUACACGAGUGGCGAACGGGUGAGUAACACGUGGGUAAUCUGCCCUGCACUUCGGGAUAAGCCUGGGAAACUGGGUCUAAUACCGGAUAUGAUUUCUGACCGCAUGGUCUGGGAGUGGAAAGUUUUUCGGUGCAGGAUGAGUCCGCGGCCUAUCAGCUUGUUGGUGGGGUAAUGGCCUACCAAGGCGACGACGGGUAGCCGGCCUGAGAGGGUGAUCGGCCACACUGGGACUGAGACACGGCCCAGACUCCUACGGGAGGCAGCAGUGGGGAAUAUUGCACAAUGGGCGGAAGCCUGAUGCAGCGACGCCGCGUGGGGGAUGACGGUCUUCGGAUUGUAAACCCCUUUCAGUAGGGACGAAGCGCAAGUGACGGUACCUGCAGAAGAAGCACCGGCUAACUACGUGCCAGCAGCCGCGGUAAUACGUAGGGUGCGAGCGUUGUCCGGAAUUACUGGGCGUAAAGAGCUCGUAGGCGGUUUGUCACGUCGUCUGUGAAAUCCCUCGGCUUAACCGGGGGCGUGCAGGCGAUACGGGCAGACUUGAGUACUACAGGGGAGACUGGAAUUCCUGGUGUAGCGGUGAAAUGCGCAGAUAUCAGGAGGAACACCGGUGGCGAAGGCGGGUCUCUGGGUAGUAACUGACGCUGAGGGAGCGAAGCAUGGGGUAGCGAACAGG